GACGAAGGAUGCAAGCGUUAUCCGGAUUCAUUGGGUUUAAAGGGAGCGUAGGUGGUCUUAUAAGUCAGAGGUGAAAUCUCUGGGCUUAACCCAGAAAUUGCCAUUGAUACUGUAGGACUUGAGUAUAGUUGCCGUUGGCGGAAUAUGACAUGUAGUGGUGAAAUACAUAGAGAUGUCAUAGAACACCGAUUGCGAAGGCAGCUAACGAAACUAUAACUGACACUGAGGCUCGAAAGUGUGGGGAUCAAACAGG
This 253-nucleotide ribosomal RNA is filed under the name uncultured bacterium. RNAcentral describes it as "partial 16S ribosomal RNA". It matches the Rfam family "Bacterial small subunit ribosomal RNA", at positions 524 to 776 of the family's 1533-position model. The record is from RNAcentral.